CUAAAACUUCCAAACAGAUAAGCGCUGAGAAUUUAUGGAAUUACAAAUAACUAAAAGAGAACCAAACUAUUAAGAAUGUACAUCAACGUACGAGGAAAAAUUUUCAGACUAUUCACGACAAUCUUUCUAUAUCUUUAUUCUUUAACAAAUAGGAAGCUCUACCCAGCAACGCCUUCAAUCAAUCACGAAAUAAAAAAAGGAGGGGUCCAUGUUCUUGCAAGACUUGCAAAACUUUUAGCACUGUCAUAGUUGGAUGGAUGAGGAACUGAACUCGAAUAGCUUAUGAGAAUAUCACAUAAGCUUACUCUCAAACUAACUUCCACGAGAUUUCUGCAUUGCUUUCAUGUAAUGGAAGACCAAGAUUUAUAGGAUGGAAGGAGUUUGUUGCAGAUAAGGCAAACUACAUAUCAGAUAUCAGGUAAAAGAGGAUAAUAAUGGUGACAGCAAGAUGGAAGAUGAUUCAAAAUGCAGGCUGUCUAUCCAUGAUUAAUUAAUUAUCAUAAAAAAAAAUCUCCUCUACCAUCCCAGGGUCAACUUUCAAAUGAUUUUCCAACCAUGCUGCCCUUCAAUUUAUAGUUCCAUCCCCACACUUAUACUCUGGAAAGUAGUUGACAAAUGUUUUGCUUCCAAGUUCGUCAACUCCAUUGAAGAGGAAGUUUCUAAUU
RNAcentral lists this long non-coding RNA (665 nucleotides) under Olea europaea subsp. europaea. The record is from RNAcentral. Lineage: Eukaryota; Viridiplantae; Streptophyta; Magnoliopsida; Lamiales; Oleaceae.